GACGCCGUUUCGACAUGACAUAUUUUUGAGACAAUUUCGUCUCCUUCAGGUGAUUUCCACGUUAAAUGCUGGCUGGGAUUAAUAAAACAUUGUUUGCGAAACUGGUAAUUGAGUAAACACCAGUAAAUAACCGAUAUUAAACGACGCAAACCAGGUCAAAACAAGCUGAGACACUCAGGCCGUUUAUUUCCCUAGGGAUUCGCGUUAACAAAUUGUUGAUGACAACAAGCAGCAUGAGGCGACUAGCCCCAUUGCAAAUGGCCCAAUUGCAAGAGAGAGAAAAACUAGGUCGUACGUCUGAGCUGGAAACUAGAGCGAUUCCUAAACCCACCCAAUGGUCAUUGAUCCUAUGUUUUACCGUGUAUUUUGAUGGCCAAGUUUCAGGCACACGAAGAAAUUUUGUUUGGAGAUUUAUUCCAAACGAAGCAAUCGAGCAAACCGAGAAAAAUUGUGCAUCCGUAACAGUGUUUAAAAAGCUGAUUUUUCGAAGUCCCACUCUGCGUUUAAGCGAACAUUCGUCGUCGAGAAUUUCAAGCAGGACAGGAUAUUGCCCUUUCGAAAACCCGAUAAAUUCGAUAGUGCGGGUCUAGACUGGAAAAUAUUUUUUCCAACUUAUGAGAUGCUGACAGCCGAAUGGGGUCUUCAACAUUUUACAACAGAUACGAGGAUUUUUCCAUAAAAACGCUUGCUUAGUUUGGAUUAGCGAUGGAAGAAAAACUAUGUUUCGCAAACAUCGAUGUAAUUCGUUCGAUGUUCGCUAUUUUUACCAUCGAUGUUGGAAAUUUGGGACAUCGAUAAAAC
Long non-coding RNA from Dendroctonus ponderosae (mountain pine beetle), 801 nucleotides. RefSeq lists it as uncharacterized. The record is from RefSeq and is a predicted model, not a curated record. The transcript has 3 exons. Lineage: Eukaryota; Metazoa; Arthropoda; Insecta; Coleoptera; Curculionidae.